Molecule: non-coding RNA, 404 nt
Organism: Triticum urartu
Lineage: Eukaryota; Viridiplantae; Streptophyta; Magnoliopsida; Poales; Poaceae
Source: RefSeq, a predicted model, not a curated record
GGGAAGAGGUCAAGAACAUCUAGCUCUUGUGGUGUUCCUCCUCAUUAUUGUCAUCGCCAUCAACAGCAACAAUGACGACCGGCUCAUGAGACAGCUACUAGAGAGGGAGCGAGGAAGGGGGAGACAGAUCUUUCAGGAGCUCGGUCAAAAAUCACCUAAGGAAAAUAUGUUGUUCUUCUCUACAAGGGUUGUAUGUGGAAUUUGAGGAGAAUCUGUGCACCAGCAUCCGACUCCUUGAUGUUGCUCUGAUCAUAUUGUGUAAAUAUAUUUCUAAUAAAGCAAUCGCCUGAUGGUGUACAUGUUAUAAAUAACAAGAAUCAUCAAGUGUGAGAGAUGGCAACAUCAUGAUGGGAUGGUAUGUACUGUUGUGCUCAUCAAUAGAGUUAGAUCACUUUUCUGUCUGA